UUACCCCGGGUUGAAAACUGCGAAUAGGCUCAUUAAAUCAGUUAUCGUUUAUUUGAUAGUACCUUACUACUUGGAUAACCGUGGUAAUUCUAGAGCUAAUACAUGCUGAAAACCCCGACUUCGGGAGGGGUGUAUUUAUUAGAUAAAAAACCAAUGCCCUUCGGGGCUCCUUGGUGAUUCAUAAUAACUUAACAGAUCGCAUGGCCUUGCGCCGGCGACGGUUCAUUCAAAUUUCUGCCCUAUCAACUUUCGAUGGUAAGGUAUUGGCUUACCAUGGUUUCAACGGGUAACGGGGAAUUAGGGUUCGAUUCCGGAGAGGGAGCCUGAGAAACGGCUACCACAUCCAAGGAAGGCAGCAGGCGCGCAAAUUACCCAAUCCCGACACGGGGAGGUAGUGACAAUAAAUACUGAUACAGGGCUCUUUUGGGUCUUGUAAUCGGAAUGAGUACAAUUUAAACCUCUUAACGAGGAACAAUUGGAGGGCAAGUCUGGUGCCAGCAGCCGCGGUAAUUCCAGCUCCAAUAGCGUAUAUUAAAGUUGUUGCAGUUAAAAAGCUCGUAGUUGAAUCUUGGGCCUGGCUGGCCGGUCCGCCUCACCGCGUGCACUGGUCCGGCCGGGCCUUUCCUUCUGGAGAGCCCCAUGCCCUUCACUGGGUGUGCGGGGGAACCAGGACUUUUACUUUGAAAAAAUUAGAGUGUUCAAAGCAGGCCUUUGCUCGAAUACGUUAGCAUGAAAUAAUAUAAUAGGACGUGCGAUCCUAUUUUGUUGGUUUCUACGACCGCCGUAAUGAUUAAUAGGGACAGUCGGGGGCAUCAGUAUUCAAUUGUCAGAGGUGAAAUUCUUGGAUUUAUUGAAGACUAACUACUGCGAAAGCAUUUGCCAAGGAUGUUUUCAUUAAUCAGUGAACGAAAGUUAGGGGAUCGAAGACGAUCAGAUACCGUCGUAGUCUUAACCGUAAACUAUGCCGACUAGGGAUCGGGCGGUGUUCCUUUGUUGACCCGCUCGGCACCUUUCGAGAAAUCCAAGAGUUUUUUUUUU
This 1038-nucleotide ribosomal RNA is filed under the name Macrodiplodiopsis desmazieri. Its description in RNAcentral is "SSU rRNA". It matches the Rfam family "Eukaryotic small subunit ribosomal RNA", at positions 70 to 1113 of the family's 1831-position model. Lineage: Eukaryota; Fungi; Ascomycota; Dothideomycetes; Pleosporales. The record is from RNAcentral.